This 492-nucleotide ribosomal RNA is filed under the name uncultured bacterium. RNAcentral describes it as "partial 16S ribosomal RNA". It matches the Rfam family "Bacterial small subunit ribosomal RNA", at positions 29 to 507 of the family's 1533-position model. The record is from RNAcentral.
AGUGAACGCUGGUGGUAGGCCUAACACAUGCAAGUCGAACGGCAGCACAGUAAGAGCUUGCUCUUACGGGUGGCGAGUGGCGGACGGGUGAGGAAUACAUCGGAAUCUACUUUUUCGUGGGGGAUAACGUAGGGAAACUUACGCUAAUACCGCAUACGACCUACGGGUGAAAGCAGGGGAUCUUCGGACCUUGCGCGAUUGAAUGAGCCGAUGUCGGAUUAGCUAGUUGGCGGGGUAAAGGCCCACCAAGGCGACGAUCCGUAGCUGGUCUGAGAGGAUGAUCAGCCACACUGGAACUGAGACACGGUCCAGACUCCUACGGGAGGCAGUAGUGGGGAAUAUUGGACAAUGGGCGCAAGCCUGAUCCAGCCAUACCGCGUGGGUGAAGAAGGCCUUCGGGUUGUAAAGCCCUUUUGUUGGGAAAGAAAAGCAGCAGGUUAAUACCCCGCUGUUCUGACGGUACCCAAAGAAUAAGCACCGGCUAACUUCGUG